RNAcentral lists this ribosomal RNA (403 nucleotides) under Verrucomicrobiota bacterium. Its description in RNAcentral is "Verrucomicrobia bacterium partial 16S ribosomal RNA". It matches the Rfam family "Bacterial small subunit ribosomal RNA", at positions 355 to 776 of the family's 1533-position model. Lineage: Bacteria; Pseudomonadati; Verrucomicrobiota. The record is from RNAcentral.
UGGGGAAUAUUGCACAAUGGGCGCAAGCCUGAUGCAGCAACGCCGCGUGAACGAUGAAGGUCUUCGGAUCGUAAAGUUCUGUUGCAGGGGAAGAUAAUGACGGUACCCUGUGAGGAAGCCCCGGCUAACUACGUGUCAGCAGCCGCGGUAAUACGUAGGGGGCUAGCGUUAUCCGGAUUUACUGGGCGUAAAGUGUGCGUAGGUGGUCCUUCAAGUCGGUGGUUAAAGGCUACGGCUCAACCGUAGUAAGCCGCCGAAACUGGAGGACUUGAGAGCAGGAGAGGAAAGUGGAAUUCCCAGUGUAGCGGUGAAAUGCGUAGAUAUUGGGAGGAACACCAGUAGCGAAGGCGGCUUUCUGGACUGAAACUGACACUGAGGCACGAAAGCGUGGGUAGCAAACAGG